This 547-nucleotide ribosomal RNA is filed under the name uncultured bacterium. Its description in RNAcentral is "bacterial SSU rRNA". It matches the Rfam family "Bacterial small subunit ribosomal RNA", at positions 340 to 878 of the family's 1533-position model. The record is from RNAcentral.
UACGGGAGGCAGCAGUAGGGAAUCUUCGGCAAUGGACGAAAGUCUGACCGAGCAACGCCGCGUGAGUGAAGAAGGUUUUCGGAUCGUAAAACUCUGUUGUUAGAGAAGAACAAGGACGUUAGUAACUGAACGUCCCCUGACGGUAUCUAACCAGAAAGCCACGGCUAACUACGUGCCAGCAGCCGCGGUAAUACGUAGGUGGCAAGCGUUGUCCGGAUUUAUUGGGCGUAAAGCGAGCGCAGGCGGUUUCUUAAGUCUGAUGUGAAAGCCCCCGGCUCAACCGGGGAGGGUCAUUGGAAACUGGGAGACUUGAGUGCAGAAGAGGAGAGUGGAAUUCCAUGUGUAGCGGUGAAAUGCGUAGAUAUAUGGAGGAACACCAGUGGCGAAGGCGGCUCUCUGGUCUGUAACUGACGCUGAGGCUCGAAAGCGUGGGGAGCAAACAGGAUUAGAUACCCUGGUAGUCCACGCCGUAAACGAUGAGUGCUAAGUGUUGGAGGGUUUCCGCCCUUCAGUGCUGCAGCAAACGCAUUAAGCACUCCGCCUGGGG